Molecule: small RNA, 278 nt
Filed under: Pongo abelii (Sumatran orangutan)
Lineage: Eukaryota; Metazoa; Chordata; Mammalia; Primates; Hominidae
Description: processed transcript
Source: RNAcentral
GCCAAGCGCAGAGGCCGCGGGCGCUCCGGGGCCAGCGGCGCCUUCGGCUCGGGCCAUGGCGCCCGGCGCCGGGGGCGCGAGGAGCGGCUCAUCUAGUCAGACCCCCCACCCCGCCACCGCCACCAGACACCACCAUCGCUGUGUAGUGUGCUGGAGAAUCUGGUAAAAGCACCAUUGUGAAGCAGAUGAGGAUCCUGCAUGUUAAUGGGUUUAAUGGAGACAGUGAGAAGGCAACCAAAGUGCAGGACAUCAAAAACAACCUGAAAGAGGCGAUUGAA